GAUGAACGCUGCCAGAAUGCUUAACACAUGCAAGUCUUUGGCGAAGCUGUGCUUGCACAGCCUAGCCAAGGCGGACGGGUGAGUAACGCGUAAGGAACGUGCCCUGCAGUCAGGGAUAACAGACGGAAACGACUGAUAAGACCUGGUAAAGUCAGGCGGACUCAUGUCCAGCCUGAUGAAAAGAGAUGCUGCAGGAGAGCCUUGCGUCCUAUUAGCUUGUUGGUGGGGUAACGGCCCACCAAGGCGAUGAUAGGUAGCCGGCCUGAGAGGGUGGACGGCCACAAGGGGACUGAGAGACGGCCCUUACUCCUACGGGAGGCAGCAGUGGGGAAUAUUGGACAAUGGGGGCAACCCUGAUCCAGCAAUUCUGUGUGCACGUUGAAGGUUUUCGGAGUGUAAAGUGCUUUCAGCAGGGAAGAAAAAAAUGACGGUACCUGCAGAAGAAGCGACGGCUAAAUACGUG
Molecule: ribosomal RNA, 463 nt
Filed under: uncultured bacterium
Lineage: Bacteria
Description: partial 16S ribosomal RNA
Rfam family: Bacterial small subunit ribosomal RNA
Source: RNAcentral